This 253-nucleotide unclassified non-coding RNA is filed under the name uncultured Alphaproteobacteria bacterium. RNAcentral's name for it is "contains 16S-23S intergenic spacer region". It matches the Rfam family "Bacterial small subunit ribosomal RNA", at positions 524 to 776 of the family's 1533-position model. The record is from RNAcentral. Lineage: Bacteria; Pseudomonadati; Pseudomonadota; Alphaproteobacteria.
UACGAAGGGGGCUAGCGUUGCUCGGAAUGACUGGGCGUAAAGGGCGCGUAGGCGGAUGGCUUUGUCAGACGUGAAAUUCCAGGGCUUAACCUUGGGGCUGCGUUUGAGACGGGUUGUCUUGAGUUCGGAAGAGGGUCGUGGAAUUCCCAGUGUAGAGGUGAAAUUCGUAGAUAUUGGGAAGAACACCGGUGGCGAAGGCAGCGACCUGGUCCGAGACUGACGCUGAGGCGCGAAAGCGUGGGGAGCAAACAGG